Long non-coding RNA from Lycium barbarum (goji berry), 1512 nucleotides. RefSeq lists it as uncharacterized. The transcript is spliced from 3 exons. NCBI's taxonomy places the organism in Eukaryota, Viridiplantae, Streptophyta, Magnoliopsida, Solanales, Solanaceae. The record is from RefSeq and is a predicted model, not a curated record.
UUUUGGAAAUGCCCUGAUCGAAAAUUCAAUGGACUAACAGUACCUCCAACAUUGUGAUCCAUACGCAUCCCUGUGAAACUUUAACAAUUUUGAUCGUUGGAUUUUAUAGAUCAGGUGGCAUACAUACAGUAGUCUUUGAUUCCUCAAGUAUACAUGGAUAAGUGUUCUUAUGUGAACAAAUUUCAGUCACCUAGGUUCCUACACUUGUGAUCAUUAGUGUAUUCCAGUGUUUAAUGCAAAACUACAGCUCACUUCAAGGGCAUUUUCUUUUUGCUAGCGUUUGUGGUACUUUAUUUUAUCUUUGGGCUUCUCUGAUACAGUCCUAGAUUUAGCCUCAUUUUUAUCCUUCAUUUUUCUCCGCUUUUAUCAAAACAUUGCUCAAUUAUCAACAUUUCAUGCUUUGUGAGCAUGGCGGUGAAACAAUUAUUCCCUUUAGUGCUUCUCUAGAGAGGAAUCUUUCUGAUAUGCCGGCAGAUGAAGCUACAAAGUACUAUGAAGAGACACGGUACAGAGGUUAAAUGCUGGCAAAUCCAAAGGCAGACAACGGCUCUUCAAGGUGCUGGAACAAUUAACACUGAUCUUGAGAUAGGGUUUAUCUGUGGUGAGGUGAUGAAAUUUGAAGAUCUAAAGGAACUGGGUAAUGGGGCAGCUGUGAAGGAAUUAUUAUUCAGUCAUCUGUGACAUUAUAAUGAUUCAUUACACCAGUUUAUGAAUGGAACUUUUAUACAGGUUAAAACAGUGAACCAAAUAUUUAACAAAAUUUCUCCACAAUAGCAAAUAUAGUGGGAAAGAUUAAACUUCAUUUCACGUACAAGUGGGAGCACAAGUUAUAUGCAUACAUUCUUUUUCUUCAAAUAUAAUUGUGCCUCCAACUUAUCUUUACGUUUAAAUUUAAAGGAAACCUUGUAGAUACUCCAUUUUAGCUUUAUAUACUCCUCGCCUUUAGGCAUAGGCAUGAGUGUCGAGACUUCCAAAAUUACUUCAUGUACUGUAUAAAUUUCAUAUCUGAGAUGUUUCUAUAUACGUGACUUAUUUCUCGUGUUUACUCGUUUAACUUUGUAAUGUUAUUAUUGUUGUUAAUUUACUUCUACUUCAUAUAUAAGAGACAUGCCAGUAUAUUGUUGAUAAAAAUGUCUAACAGACUAUGUAACUGUUCACCUUUUGCAAUUUGGAAAAAUAAGAAGAAGAAGAGAGUGGUGCUCGAGUUUCUCUGCCCAAGCACUUACUAAAAAGAAAAAUGAAAAAAGUUUUUGCGCAAGCACGCUUAGUGAAAAUUCGAAAAAAAAAAAAAAAAAAAGACUAGCAAAUGGGAAUUAGCACAGUUACUCUGAUGUGUUCUUCACAGGCUAAAGGUGAAACGAGUAAGAUUAAGAUUUUUGCAUUUUAUAAUUGUAGAAUGCUUAAUAUUGUGCAUCUUUUUAUUUUUGUAUUUUUUAUAGUCUCAAUUAAUUGUAAUAAUUAUCAUGUAUAGUUGCACACUAUAAGGUAGAAGCUGCAACUGAUAAGAUCACA